GCGGCGCGCCGCAGAGGCUGGGACGACUCGUGAGGGAAACAGGUUCCGCGGGUCCAGUCGUGCUCCCCGAAGGACACCAGCCCGAUGGAGAUGGUCUGCAGGAACGGCCGGAUGGCGGGCGUGAACUGUGGAGAGAUGCCGCUGUGUCACCCACUGCCCAGGAGGGACCGGAGGCAGGCAGGAGUGAGGGGCAGAGACACGAUUUGGGGGGAGACGUGGUCAUUCAACACACAUUUUGGGAGCUCCUGUGUGCCCGGCACCGCUCUAGGCGCCUUCAGGGAGCUGAUGUCAAAGGGAAGACCACCAGUAAGCAAAUAAAGCACAUGUUAUAUGAUGUUUAA
This is a long non-coding RNA of Hyaena hyaena (striped hyena), 341 nucleotides long. RefSeq lists it as uncharacterized. The transcript has 2 exons. Lineage: Eukaryota; Metazoa; Chordata; Mammalia; Carnivora; Hyaenidae. The record is from RefSeq and is a predicted model, not a curated record.